RNAcentral lists this ribosomal RNA (310 nucleotides) under uncultured bacterium. RNAcentral's name for it is "partial 16S ribosomal RNA". It matches the Rfam family "Archaeal small subunit ribosomal RNA", at positions 448 to 760 of the family's 1478-position model. The record is from RNAcentral.
AAGAGACAGCAGCAGCCGCGGGAAUACCAGCACCUCGAGUGGUCAGGAGGUUUAUUGGGCCUAAAGCAUCCGUAGCCGGUUGCAUAAGUUUUCGGUUAAAUCUAUGCGCUUAACGUAUAGGCCGCCGAAAAUACUGUGCAGCUAGGGAGUGGGAGAGGUACACGGUACUCGAUAGGAAGGGGUAAAAUCCUUUGAUCUAUUGAUGACCACCUGUGGCGAAGGCGGUGUACCAGAACACGUUCGACGGUGAGGGAUGAAAGCUGGGGGAGCAAACCGGAUUAGAUACCCCAGUAGUCCCUGUCUCUUAUAC